This 3146-nucleotide unclassified non-coding RNA is filed under the name Daphnia magna. RNAcentral describes it as "uncharacterized LOC116931964, transcript variant X4". The record is from RNAcentral. Lineage: Eukaryota; Metazoa; Arthropoda; Branchiopoda; Diplostraca; Daphniidae.
GGGUGAAAUUCAAUCGUUGUCCAGAAUUGGCCAAAGUUCGACGUAUUGCCCCAGUUCGGUAAUCCAAAUUGAAACUUGAAACACAAGUGUUUUCGCAAUAGUUAAUUUUUUGCUGAAAGUUUUUAGUCCGUGAUCGAUGGCAGUAACCUGAAGCAAAGAGCCACUGAAAUUGACAUCCAGGAAAAGUCUCAGGAAUAACAAGUUCUGAUCAUCUUCAUAUCAUGAACUCUCCACCCAAUUCUAGUGCUAGUAAUUUACCAUUUGGUCUUCCACCUCAUGUCUCAACCUUUUUACCAAAGGCUGAAGCAAUCAAUGCAAUUACUGGACAUCCAUCCCAAGAAAAUGCAGAAGCGAGGGUACUUGGCAAUCAAAGUCAAGAAUGGCAUUAUCAGGAGCAUAAACAUUCAGGCAGAUACUUUGAGACGUCCAAUCAAGGGGUUGGAUACGAAAACACUUCCCAGUCUUGUCAAAACGAGUCCUCGGGCAACGUGUCUACCAUUGGAGAUGGCGGAACAGAACAACGCGAAGUUAAAGUUUACCUAUGCGACCCGCGUUUGAGCCGGAAAAAUGGCGGACAGGAUCUCCAUAAUCCUCACGUAACUAAUCAUCAUGAUUGGAUUACAUGUGGCCAGGGAUCUGAAAUGACUGCUGAUUCAUGGACCAAACAGGUGCAAGAGAAACCCUUUGUUCCACCUUUACCCGAUUCACCUUUACUAAAUCCUUCACCACCACCACCCCCUCUCCCUUCGCUUCCUCCUAUCCCUACCUCACCACCUCCUAUCCUUUCGCCAUCACAAGAACCAAUGCCAGCUCUUCCCAUUUCGGGGCCAUCCAGGGGUCAUCCCACUGCUGGCCAUCUUGGAACGAAAUGGAAACCUAAAGUCGCGUCUUAUCAAAUCUUCCAGCCAGAGACUGAUACUGCCUCGUCUAAAUGGAACACUUUGUCGACCGGUCGAAUUUCAAGAAAUCACUCCACGCCAAUGGUACCGUGUUUAUUAUCCAUACCGUUUCCGGUCUAUUGCAUCAAUUGCAAUGAAUAUGGCCAUGAGACGAGACAAUGUUUCAUUAUUAAUUCCGUCAAGCAACAAAAUAAAAGAAAGUCAGAAGAAGAAAGUCAGGGGUGCUGUAAACGCACUAGAAAGGGAAACCAUGCUAUCGGUUGCUCUAGUUUAACGACUUUAACUCGGGAAAUUGGAAGUUCUACGGAGAAACCUGGCAUUUCCCGAUGGGCUACAGGUGCCAAUGCAGUUGCCCAAUUAGUUGGUCGAAAGACACCCGUUGUCAGAAUAUCCGUCGAUAAUAAUGCAGUUGCUGCUAGCUCUUCGAAAAUGGAAGAAUCUCUACAAGAGAGUUUUGUCACUCAAAAAAAUAUUGCAAACGCCACCAUCUCCACGGCAUCGAGCCAAUCCUUAAUAUACGAAGACGAAAUUAACCAACUAAUAGCAAGCGGAAUACAUACUUUGAAGGAAAUGAUUGAUGCCUUACCCAGCGAAAAGAGCAAUUCAUCGUUUUUGAACACUAUACUCACGCCCAAUGUUGCCGAAACCGAUGUAACGAAUAUCAACUCCAACAUCAGCGCAGAACGAUCUGCCGGGUCCAAAGAUGGUCAGAAAGGAAACGAAAAAGAGAAAACAAGCAAAAACGGAGACAACGCGGACAGUCAAGUUUGCAAUAUAUGCCAGAAAACGAAAGGAGGCCAUGUGCAGGGUUGUUUUAAUUCAAAAAAAGUUCGUUCCUUACGCAAUCGAGAGAAACUACGCUGCGAAGAAUUGGCAAAAAAGAUACAAAUGAGGUCGGAAUGGUUUUCCGAGAUCUUGAAAAUGAUGAGAAGUGAAGUUUCUUUUCCGGCGAUGCCAGUAGAACCACCUUCACAAGAAAGGCCAAAGAAACGACCGGAAGAAGAUGAAUUGUUGGCCCGUGUCGAAUUUAUCAAAAGGGUACCCAGAGAGGAACUGGAAGAAAUGGUUUUGAGGUAUAUCUAUUUUUUUGAGGCAAAUAAGCGCAAUGAAGCAGAAGAAUUGAUCAUCGCUAAACGAAAGGUAUUGAACAUGCAAAAUCAGAUCAACAUGCUUCAAUAUAGGCUGAAGCGAGAAUAUAAAAAAAGAGCAAAUCAGACAUCUAAGCCAACAUGUACCAUUGGCACACAAGUACAAUCGAAUGAUUUCGAUACAUCUGGCCAGCCGAACAUUCCGUUGCCGGUUAAAUCUCUUUCGCCUGUGCAUAUCAAAGUGGAGAAGGCUGAAGCAAACAUUUUACCACCAUCAUCGGAGUUAUCCACUUCAAAGGAGGAUAUCUCAAAUCGUACAUGUCUACCAUCCAGUGUUGGCAAUUCAGAUAUGGCGCAAUUACCAUGCGAUCCAAUAGUCAGCAGCAUCAAUACACCAAACAAAAUAGUUGUGAAAGCUGAAAAGCAAUGUAUGCCAACACUGCGGGAUAACUCAUUACAUCCCGAAAAGAAUGGUGAACACCAAGAAACCACUGUCACGCCUCGUAUUCAGCUACCUCUACAAAAAUCCACGUUUACUGAUGCAGACAUUCCCUAUGGUAAACCUGCUCUUAAUGUAAAAAAUACCGCUGCAUCUUCUCUUGGACAUCCUCCGAAACAACUUCCUUCUCCUGCUGAUCCGAUCAACCCUUCCGCCAAAAAAAACCAAUCGUCCAAGGAGCGACCCACCAACAGUACGAUAAGUCGAGUUAUGCGACACGUGGAACAGCAACGGGCAUCCUCAUCAAGCACUUUACAAGCUGAACUUUCAACCUUGUCUGCUAGUAUGACUCCUCAAAGACAACAACCUUCAACCGCUUCUAGUUCGUCUCUUCUAAAUCAGCAAUCAUACGUAUGUAACUAUGAAAUCCAACAGAAAAGUCAACGAACCGAGAGCGUCCAAUCGGAUUUCCGUCUUAUAAAGUCGGAAUACGUUAAAAUUGAAGCAAACAAACGGAGCGAAGCAACUGGUACACCACGUCAGAGAAGCGAUAUGCACGCUUUAGGUUCACGCGAGCUUCCUAUUCAAAUUGAGUGAUAACCAAAUGUGUUGAGCCUUCUUUCUACCAAUUUGUUCACCGUUAUAACCUAGAAAAAAGUUCCGUGCUGAUCUUUUGCUGCCUACCAGAAGCAGUGGAAGAAUACACGCUCUAAAAUUCUA